UACAGAGGUGGCAAGCGUUGUUCGGAAUUACUGGGCGUAAAGCGUGCGCAGGCGGCUUUGCAAGACAGAUGUGAAAUCCCCGGGCUUAACCUGGGAACUGCAUUUGUGACUGCACAGCUGGAGUGCGGCAGAGGGGGAUGGAAUUCCGCGUGUAGCAGUGAAAUGCGUAGAUAUGCGGAGGAACACCGAUGGCGAAGGCAAUCCCCUGGGCCUGCACUGACGCUCAUGCACGAAAGCGUGGGGAGCAAACAGG
This 253-nucleotide ribosomal RNA is filed under the name uncultured bacterium. Its description in RNAcentral is "partial 16S ribosomal RNA". It matches the Rfam family "Bacterial small subunit ribosomal RNA", at positions 524 to 776 of the family's 1533-position model. The record is from RNAcentral.